RNAcentral lists this long non-coding RNA (658 nucleotides) under Populus trichocarpa (black cottonwood). RNAcentral's name for it is "long non-coding RNA (PTRI_LNC003234)". The record is from RNAcentral. Lineage: Eukaryota; Viridiplantae; Streptophyta; Magnoliopsida; Malpighiales; Salicaceae.
GAGUGGGUUGACCAUUUACCCGGGUCAACAUAAGGACAAAAAUAGUUAUUAUCAUAGUUUUAAAAUCCGAUUUGGGGGUCGACCGGGAUAAGGCUUGGGUCAAGUGUUAGGAGGGUCAACUCGGGUUGAUGUAAAAUAAAAAUAGUUAUUAUCAUAGUUUUAAAACUUGAUUUGGAGGUCAACCAAGGGCAAGGGUUGGGUCACGAACUAGGAGAGCUGACUUGGGUUAAUGUAAGAAUAAAAGUUGUUAUUAUCAUAGUUUUAAGACCUGGUUUUGAGUUUGACAAGAGCAAGGCCCAGGUCAAGAGUUGAGAGGGUUAGCAGGUGGAUAAAAAUAGUUCUUAUUAUAGUUUUAAAAUUCAACUCAAGAGUCGAUAUGAGGUAAGGUUCGGGUCACGGGUUGGGAGGGCCGACUGAGCAAAUCCAAUUUUUUUCUAAAAAAAAUCAAAUUAACCUUUUUUUGACCAUUUAUUUUUCAAAAAAGUCAAUGAGUUUUUGACCCAUAUUUUAUCCCAGGUUGACUUGGAUUUUUUAUCGGGUCAGGUCGAGUCAAUCAUUCCUCUAUUUUUCUUAAACCGGACCAGUCCAGGCUAUGUGUCAACCCAUUAAGUCACUUAUGAUUUUAUAUUUAAGGUUGCUAUAAUAUUAUUAAUCUCAA